RNAcentral lists this ribosomal RNA (235 nucleotides) under uncultured bacterium. Its description in RNAcentral is "partial 16S ribosomal RNA". It matches the Rfam family "Bacterial small subunit ribosomal RNA", at positions 116 to 334 of the family's 1533-position model. The record is from RNAcentral.
CGUGGGUAAUCUACCUCCGAAUCGGGGAUAACCCGCCGAAAGGCGAGCUAAUACCGGAUAAUAUCUUUGAAACAUCGGUUUUUUUAGAUCAAAGGUGGCCUCUACAUGUAAGCUACUGUUUGGAGAUGAGCCCGCGUACCAUUAGCUUGUUGGUAGGGUAAUGGCCUACCAAGGCUUCGAUGGUUAGCUGGUCUGAGAGGAUGAUCAGCCACACUGGAACUGACACACGGUCCAG